CUGACCUGCGGUGCCACCUGUUGCUGCUGGCUCAGGAAGCGCUCCUCUUCUGUCCAGCUGGAGGAAGUCAGCGGCUCUGAGGCGGAGGCCCCCCACCUCACCUUCCUCCAAGGUUGCCGCUGCUAACUCAUUAAAAAACACGACAGCGAUGGACGUGAACACUCAGCGUUCGGCCAUCAGAGGAGACGUCUGUGUCUUACUGAGGCCUUGAAGCAACAAGCCCCUCAUACUUGGUCGCGGUUACGUACUCACUUAAAAUCAGACAUUACUGUGUGUUGGUACCUAAACGCAUCAUUGUGUUACCAAGUGAGGGAAGGAGUGGCUCAUUUUCCAUGCCGACCUGAACACAGCAUCACAUACACAAGAGCGUAAUGAGGUCAGUAGCAGCUGGUCCAGUCAACAAAGCUAGCAUGACUGAUAGAAAGCAGCUAGAACCUGGAGGAUAGCAGCCCUUGAGGACUUUGAACACCACUGCUCUACAGCCAUCACCACAUUUAAGAAUCUUCUUAGCUGGGGAGUGGAAAGCAUCAAUGAGCUCCGAUAUGUGGAGGGAGCUCCAGGAGUGGACCUCGCUGAUGUACUGACACACAUCCACAUCUGAACACUUCUUCACCAACUAAAACAGCCUCCUAAAACCUCCAGUCGUCUUGUGUGAUCCUGGACACCCAAGUUACCACAACAUCUCCAUGGACUCAGGACUUCAGGACCAGACUCUGCAGACCUCUGAUCAUCCCAGGAUGAUCCACCUUCAGCUCCACCAGUCAGGAGGAGGAAGAUGAGAAAAGGUCAAACUUUCUGUCUACACAUCCACAGAACUAUACUUUUUAAGCUAAGCUACAAAGACGAGCUGAGCUUUAAAAGCUGUGUCAGACUUUGUGGCACAGGGAGGCUCUGCUCCUCAUCAUCCUCAUAGAAAUCCUCCAGCAGCCCUUCAUGUCUUACCCUUUCACCUUUCUCCCUCAGCGCCGUUGUGGAACCAGAUCCCAGGAGAACCACUCUUCAGCUGUAUCAAUAAUUGUUCCAAGGAUCUUCUGUUGUCCGUAGUCGUCAUGAUCCUGAGCACGUGUUGCUACCUGCAGACUGGCGGAAUCAGCUUGGAGGGUGCGGCUCAUGGCGCCUUCAUGAUGCUGUGGUGGAUAUAAGGGGCGCUGAGACGGUCCAACUUGGCCUGAUGCUCAACCUCUCUGGAUGCUGCCUGCUAGCGGCCCGUUCACCUGACCAGGAUUUCUCUGGGUCUGAUCGCCUCAGUCCGCUCAGACUUUAUGGUCCUCCAUCCACGGUCGUCUCCAAACUGCCCCCUCCUCCCUCCUGCCCGCUGUCCAACCCUCCACUCCGGGAAGUCCACCUCCCAGCUACCGGGAACCUCCACUCCCUCAGUUCAUCUGCCGUCUCAUCACGGUAAGCCCUCCUCCUCUCAGCAAGCACCUGCUGGCCUUUCCUCAUCCACCAACUAAGCUGUCAUUGUGUCUUCACACCGAACGCAUUUCUAAUGUGGCCACGUUUGAAACGCGUAUUGCCAGCAAUUGGCUCAGCGGGCGACCAGCCAAAAAUACAGCAGUAACAAUGGCGCCAUCUAGUGACGCUUUCACUUCCUGCCACUGCUGUCUCCUCACUCACUCUUCAGGUUCGGUCCUUUCUAGACUUGUCUCGUUCGUAAUAAUAACCUCACAGCCACACCUAGCUCCUGAUUGGUUGUCGCAACGCAACAACACACCAACUGUCGCUUCACAUCCACCGUAGGUGUCGUGUCGCUGUGGCUUCACUGUUCGACACCAAAAUGGCGACACGUCUGCUGUGUCGCUUUCCGUCGCAUCGCUCCUGUGUUGCACCUGUACAUGGGGAUAACAUGUAGAUCUGUCGCUUGAGCCACCACAUUCGCAUUCGGUGUGAACACACCUUCAGGGUGUGGGUUGUGCUGCUCCGUUCCUUUCCUCAGGUGGCCACUGGAGGGCAGAGCUGAGAUCAGUUUGAGCGAUGCUGACUCAGCACACCUGGCUCUCAUCAUCAUCAGCGGUGCAUCUGAGGAGCUGGCUGCUGAUCCUCUGACCCCUGGGUGUCCUCCUCUGUGGUGCCUUCAAAGAAGAUUUCUGGACUUACCUGGCUCUCCGUCAGAUGGCAGUCAUCUGGUUACCUCUUCUACGAUCAGAGGAUCGUAGAAGAGGUAACCGCCUUGAAUCGAACCUGUUCGCCCAUUUUUAGUCUUCACCGGACGCUCUGUGCUCACGACCCGGAAACAGACCGCCACUUCCAACUCAAACGUGAGUUCCUGGUUCCCCGAGCUGACCUUCAUCCCAGCAGAUCCCACACACCAUGCACUGACUCUAAUAAACUGUUCACCUUUCUGCUGUAACCUGAGAGUCUGUCUUGCAUUUGAGUCAAAAGCUUAAAAAACAUGAGGAUACCUGCAAUCAUGUUAGUUGUUGCCCGCACAACUUGGACAUCUGUGCCUAUAUUAAUGAAGAAUCAUAAGACUAAAAGUAGUAGUGGUGACAUUUUAGUUGUUUCCUCCGCUCUUUAGGUGGUGGUGGAACAGAGAGAGAGCUGA
Long non-coding RNA from Fundulus heteroclitus (mummichog), 2545 nucleotides. RefSeq lists it as uncharacterized. The transcript is spliced from 7 exons. NCBI's taxonomy places the organism in Eukaryota, Metazoa, Chordata, Actinopteri, Cyprinodontiformes, Fundulidae. The record is from RefSeq and is a predicted model, not a curated record.